Molecule: long non-coding RNA, 419 nt
Organism: Eubalaena glacialis (North Atlantic right whale)
Lineage: Eukaryota; Metazoa; Chordata; Mammalia; Artiodactyla; Balaenidae
Exons: 5
Source: RefSeq, a predicted model, not a curated record
AAAGUGCUCGGACUGGAGCGUUUCCUGGAUCUCGGGCUCCCGGUUCCCAGGCGGGUGCUGUUGCUGCAGCUGCUGCUGCUGCGAGGCCGAAGACGAGCCGGCGGUCAGGCCGUCCAGCACCUUCCUGAUGUUGAAUUUCCUCAUGGUCUCGACGGGGUCCCCCGCAGCCCGGGAGGGGAGAUGAGAAACUGAGCCAGGAAGAAAUUACAUCUGUUGCCCAAGGUUAUGUGGCUGCUAAUGCAUCACUUAAACUCUGAAAAGAUUGACUUCCCCAAGGAGAAAUCAAAUUCAUAGUGUCUCAAGGAAUCAAAUGGCUUGAGUUUAAAGGACAAGUAAAGUGUAUGGGAGUGACCAUUCUGCUGGCUCAGAGCAUCCCACAAGUUCCACCCGUCUGGAAAAAGCCAGAUCACUUCAAGGGA